This 366-nucleotide ribosomal RNA is filed under the name uncultured bacterium. RNAcentral's name for it is "bacterial SSU rRNA". It matches the Rfam family "Bacterial small subunit ribosomal RNA", at positions 29 to 424 of the family's 1533-position model. The record is from RNAcentral.
AGCGAACGCUGGCGGCAGGCCUAACACAUGCAAGUCGAACGCACCUUCGGGUGAGUGGCGGACGGGUGAGUAACACGUGGGAACGUACCUUUAGGUUCGGAAUAACGCAGGGAAACUUGCGCUAAUACCGAAUGUGCCCUUCGGGGAAAGGAUUAUCGCCUUUAGAGCGGCCCGCGUUAGAUUAGCUAGUUGGUGGGGUAAUGGCCCACCAAGGCUACGAUCUAUAGCUGGUCUGAGAGGAUGAUCAGCCACACUGGGACUGAGACACGGCCCAGACUCCUACGGGAGGCAGCAGUGGGGAAUCUUGCGCAAUGGGCGGAAAGCCUGACGCAGCCAUGCCGCGUGAAUGAUGAAGGUCUUAGGAUU